Molecule: long non-coding RNA, 130 nt
Organism: Octopus sinensis (East Asian common octopus)
Lineage: Eukaryota; Metazoa; Mollusca; Cephalopoda; Octopoda; Octopodidae
Exons: 2
Source: RefSeq, a predicted model, not a curated record
UUAAUCUCAUUCACAUACACACACACACACAUCUUUCUGACAUUCAGACAACAUCUACAGCACUGAUUAUAUAAGCCAUAAUCGAUAAGAAAUGAACGGGAAGCUGAAGAUCAAAGUUUUGGCACAAAAU